UACGUAGGGACCAAGCGUUGUUCGGAUUUACUGGGCGUAAAGAGCUCGUAGGCGGCUUGUCGCGUCGAAUGUGAAAACCCACGGCUCAACCUCGGGCCUGCAGUGGGUACGGGCAAACUAGAGUGUGGUAGGGGGAGACUGGAAUUCCUGGUGUAGCGGUGAAAUGCGCAGAUAUCAGGAGGAACACCGAUGGCGAAGGCAGGUCUCUGGGCCAUAACUGACGCUGAGAAGCGAAAGCAUGGGGAGCGAACAGG
Molecule: ribosomal RNA, 254 nt
Filed under: uncultured bacterium
Lineage: Bacteria
Description: partial 16S ribosomal RNA
Rfam family: Bacterial small subunit ribosomal RNA
Source: RNAcentral